Molecule: long non-coding RNA, 231 nt
Filed under: Mytilus galloprovincialis (Mediterranean mussel)
Lineage: Eukaryota; Metazoa; Mollusca; Bivalvia; Mytilida; Mytilidae
Source: RNAcentral
UUUAACUGUCUUUAUGAAAGUUGCUGCCCUCGUAAAUAUUAGCACCGACGGUUAGCUUUACACUUGUAAGUUUGUCUUAAUAUAUAGGUAAUUGUGUUGAAACUGUCGUUUCGUUGCUGUCUUGUGAAUGAAUACCCGAAAUCUCCGUGUCAUCAUCCAUCAUAUAGUAAUGGCAAUAUAUCGGGUUAUUCAAUACUCUGUUUUUUGCAUAGAAAUAGUUCUUCGUUAAUC